AUGAAGGCGGGACUGAAUCUUCAAGAAAAAAAAAAUCACAAUGGGGUGGCAAAACCCUAAAUUCUUUCACCGGGGGCAAGCGAUGGUGGUGGUGUUGUCUUGAUGGGAUUUUUGUGGAUAUAAAUAUAUUUUUCUAUCACUCAUAAGAGAAACAAGCAUCAAUGGCACCUCCUGACGUGGCCAUGUGUGAUUGGGCCCCACUUAGGGUUUUCCCACUCAUUCCAAUGGGGUCCCUAUCCCUAGCUGGAAAGGUUGACUUGCAUCCACACGCAAAGCAAGUGGACGUUUGUUGGCCUGAGAGGGAAGUCACAAUCGUGGUCAUGCUUGCUAAACUUAUAGCUUCAUAAAUUGAUUCGGGGAAAUUGAGAUUUGAAAUUUGAUUGCAAUCGAAUUUGUAAUUAAAUUGGAUUAAAUAUUGAUCUGUAAAAUCCCAUCAACUCCAAAUAUUUUUUAAUAACCAGUUGAUUCGGCUAAAUUCAGCUAUAUAACUAGCUAGGUGAAGAACUUUAUAUGUCAAAAGAUGUCAUGAGCUCACAUUGAUGCAAGUUCUCCAUUGAAAUUCUUGCUGGCACAGUGAAUACUGGUUGAGGAGCCACAUGUUGCCGAAUCCUCCUACCUUUGUAAUUGAACUAGGGUUUUCUUUUUUAAAGAAGACUGGUUAAUUAUUAGUAUCAUGCAUCCCUUUGCCUUUCGUAAAUAUGUCUCCAUUUAUUAACCAGACCAGCAGGAUCCUACUAUUCAAGACUAACAUCAUAUGCUUAUGGCACUGUGGUUGCUGAGUUUCUCACUACACAUUACGAUGAGUUGCACCUGCUGCUUAUCAAUAGCCAAGUAGUCAGACAAACUACCAUAUCAGUAAAACUGGGGAAGAGUAGCAAAAGAGGAGGGAGUUUAGCUAGCUGGUCAGCUGCAUUGGAUACAUUGAGGACAGGCAUGGAACUGUUGUAAACACAUCACCAAACUUCCAUAGAUAUUCAGGGCAACGCAAAUACAAUGCCAUAGCUUUGCUAAUUGCCCGUGCAUUUUCAGACUAACUUAGAGAAGCAGAAACUUGUGUCAAAUUUAUGAGUUUAUGUUCAUUUGCUUUCCUUGCUUUGUUUU
Long non-coding RNA from Populus trichocarpa (black cottonwood), 1101 nucleotides. RefSeq lists it as uncharacterized. The transcript has 2 exons. NCBI's taxonomy places the organism in Eukaryota, Viridiplantae, Streptophyta, Magnoliopsida, Malpighiales, Salicaceae. The record is from RefSeq and is a predicted model, not a curated record.